GAUGAACGCUGGCGGCGUGCCUAAUACAUGCAAGUCGAGCGAACGGACGAGAAGCUUGCUUCUCUGAUGUUAGCGGCGGACGGGUGAGUAACACGUGGAUAACCUACCUAUAAGACUGGGAUAACUUCGGGAAACCGGAGCUAAUACCGGAUGAUAUUUUGAACCGCAUGGUUCAAAAGUGAAAGACGGUCUUGCUGUCACUUAUAGAUGGAUCCGCGCUGCAUUAGCUAGUUGGUAAGGUAACGGCUUACCAAGGCAACGAUGCAUAGCCGACCUGAGAGGGUGAUCGGCCACACUGGAACUGAGACACGGUCAAGACUCCUACGGGAGGCAGCAGUAGGGAAUCUUCCGCAAUGGGCGAAAGCCUGACGGAGCAACGCCGCGUGAGUGAUGAAGGUCUUCGGAUCGUAAAACUCUGUUAUUAGGGAAGAACAUAUGUGUAAGUAACUGUGCACAUCUUGACGGUACCUAAUCAGAAAGCCACGGCUAACUACGUG
This 497-nucleotide ribosomal RNA is filed under the name uncultured bacterium. RNAcentral describes it as "partial 16S ribosomal RNA". It matches the Rfam family "Bacterial small subunit ribosomal RNA", at positions 28 to 507 of the family's 1533-position model. The record is from RNAcentral.